RNAcentral lists this long non-coding RNA (1062 nucleotides) under Gossypium raimondii (Peruvian cotton). RNAcentral describes it as "long non-coding RNA (GRAI_LNC010825)". The record is from RNAcentral. Lineage: Eukaryota; Viridiplantae; Streptophyta; Magnoliopsida; Malvales; Malvaceae.
GUUGGUGACCUCGGGUUCGUCUUUGCGUUGAAUGUGGUUCAGCACCAUCAUUCGGGGGUCACGGAGUUCUUCUCGAAGGCCCCGGUUGUAUUGGUUGAUGUGCAUGGACGUUUGGUCGAGGGGAUGGGCGGUCUUGGUUGUCGGAUGAGUUUGGUGGUUCGACAGGGCUAUUUGGAGAAUGGUCGGUCGAAUUAGGUGGCUCAUGGGGCUGGUAGACUACGACGAUUGGAGUUGGGCUACAGUUUCUUCUAGGACGGCGCGAUUGCGGCGAUGGAGAUGGAGGAGACUCGUCGGAGUCGAUGGUGAUAAAGGGUGGAACGAAGAAACGGUGUUGAAAGAAAGAGCGGACAAAGGGUGGAGCGGUCGUGGGUGGGGGCCAUGUUAGGGUGGUUGGUUUGAAAGAAAGAGGUGGUGGGUGGUGGUUUUGAAGAUGGUAAGGAAGGAACUUAGUAAAAAGAAAAAAAAAUGGUAGGAUUUGAAAAAGGGGUUUUAGUUUAUGGCCGGUCAAAUGGGGGUAAUUGGGUAUUUGAUUGGCGAAAGUGUUUUAUUUGUUUGAGGAGAGUGGUAGUGGAGUUUUAAUUUCCUAGGUGAAAAAGUAUGAUUUGAUGGGUGAAAGUUUUUUUUUUAAUUUGAAAAGAGGUGGACGGUUGGGGAGAGAGGGAAAGGUUAAAAUGGGGGUAUGGGGUUCUAGUUUUCUAGGUGAAAAGAUGGAUGUGAUAGGUGAAAGCUUAGGAUUUGAUAAAUUUGGAAAAGGGGUGGACGGUUGGGGGUUUUUUAUUAUUUUUUAUUUUUGAUUUUUUUAAUUUUUUAUUGGGAAAGGUGGUUGGGGUGUUUUUGGGCUUAAUUUUUGGGUUUGAAUUUGGGUAGGUAUGAUAGGUUUGGGUUUUGGUUAAUGGGUUAGCUUGGGUAUUGGAUUGGUUUAAAUGGUGGGUAGGUGGAGUGGGCCUUGGUUGAAAUAAAAAGAAUUUUGUGGGCAAACAUGGGGAAUUUAAUUUUGUCUUGGAAUGUCUCCCUGCAAAAAUAAAAUAAAAUAAAAUAAAAAUGAAAUAAAAUAGUAAAAAU